This is an RNA transcript of Manihot esculenta (cassava), 2062 nucleotides long. It is a transcript of the gene named RNA-binding protein Musashi homolog 1, with no coding region annotated. Lineage: Eukaryota; Viridiplantae; Streptophyta; Magnoliopsida; Malpighiales; Euphorbiaceae. The record is from RefSeq and is a predicted model, not a curated record. The transcript is spliced from 13 exons.
AAGAAAAGAAAAGAAAAGGAAAGAAAAAUACAGUAACCGUUGGGCAUUUUGGUGAUUUGGUCCCUCCGGAUUUUCUCUUAUUGGAGUUGUCAUAAAAACUGCAAAUGGACUGCCCCGAUGUCAGACGGUCUGGCGUUUGCGAGCUAGAGAGACCUUCAUAGAUAUAUAGGCUGGGAAGGAAGCGAGCGAGCGAGCGAGCGAGGUUGAGGGAGAGAGGGGAGAUCCGUACUAGGGUUUUAAAUUCCCAGAGAUCGAAAGGUGAGUGAGUGUGCAAAAUCCCUGUGAUUAUCGACUAACUUAUCAAAUUUUCUUUGUUUUCUUUGAGUCAUUUGAGAAAAAAUUUAAAAUUCGUAGAGGAAUGAUGAGUUUCAUUUGGAAUUUGAUGAUGUUUGUUUGUGAGAAAGAGAUGUACUUGUUAUGUGCAGGGGGCGACCAGGAGUGUGAGAGAGAUAGAGAGAGUUUUGUGAGUCUGCUAGAGCUAAGAGAGCGGUUCCGAACCAAUUUGAGUGUUAGGGUUUCGCGAUCUUCAUCCCUUUUUCGCUUAUAGCAAGAUUCUUCGAGUUUCAGAUGGAACGAAAGCUUGUGGUUUUGGGUAUUCCGUGGGAGGUGGAUACAGAGGGUUUGAGGGAAUAUAUGAGCAAAUUUGGAGAAUUGGAAGAUUGUAUUGUCAUGAAGGAGCGGUCAUCAGGUCGCUCACGGGGGUUUGGAUACGUAACGUUUGCAUCAGCUGAAGAUGCAAAGAAUGCAUUAUCAAGUGAACACUUUCUUGGAAAUAGAAUGCUGGAAGUUAAAGUGGCCACACCAAAGGAGGAGAUGAGAGCACCUGCAAAGAAAGUGACAAGGAUAUUUGUGGCAAGGAUUCCACCAUCUGUGACUGAAGCAGCCUUUCGAAGGUCAUUGAAUAUGAUGAUGGCCGACAAAUUCUUUCAUUUUGAGAAAUAUGGCGAUAUAAUAGAUCUGUACAUGCCAAAGGAUCAUAGCUCAAAAACACAUCGUGGAAUUGGAUUUAUCACAUUUUCUAGUGCAGAUUCUGUGGAUAGUUUGAUGGUUGAUACUCAUGAACUGGGAGGUUCUACUGUAGUUGUAGAUCGAGCAACACCCAAGGAAGAUGAUUUCAGGCCAGUUGGAAGAAUGGCACAUGUUGGAUACGGUGCAUACAAUGCUUAUAUCUCUGCAGCUACUAGAUAUGCUGCACUUGGUGCUCCUACCUUGUAUGACCAUCCAGGUCCAAUGUAUGGAAGGGAACCUGCUAGAGGAAUGGGCAAAAAGAUUUUUGUUGGCAGGCUUCCUCAGGAAGCAACUGCUGAAGAUUUGCGCCUGUAUUUCGGUAGAUUUGGUCAUAUAUUAGAUGUUUAUGUUCCAAAGGAUCCUAAGAGAUCUGGCCAUAGAGGUUUUGGAUUUGUAACAUUUGCUGAAGAUGGUGUAGCAGAUCGUGUUUCUCGAAGGUCUCAUGAGAUUUGUGGACAUCAGGUAUUAGAUAAAACUUCAUCUAUCUCAGAAAUUGGUAGCAAUAGAUUCAGCAACACCUAUUGAUGAUGCUGGCCCAAGUGGAAAUUUCAUGAUGAAUGCUGCUCCCUCUUUUGGGGGUUAUGGUGGUCCUAUGCGCAACUUUGGUAGGAUGUAUGGAAGCCUGGAUUUUGAUGAUUGGGGUUAUGGAAUGGGUAGUGCAAGACCUUCCAGAGCAGAUUGGAGGUAUAGGCCAUACUAAGUUAAGAGAUGUGGCCAUGGAGAAUUGGGAUUGCAAAGGCUUUGUGAUAUGGUGUUUCUUAUAGUAGAAUAAUCAUUGAACAUUUUUUAUAUAAAUGAUUUUUUUUCUUUUAGUUAUGGAGAUGCUGCACUCGUAACUUCCUUGUACCUCCAUUUUCAAUGUCAUGUUCAGAAUGUUAGUUUUGGUGGCAAAUUGGCUGUGUAGGAAUACAGCCAGGGAUUAUGAUUCACCUGUGGCUUUGGGAUGGACUAAGUUUUCGACUGCCAAUGCGACUUCCUCCAUGUUGUAAGUUAGAUAUUCAUUAUUCUAUUGGUUUUUUUAUCACAAGAAAAUCAUUUCAGAUUGUGUUUGAAA